GUAAAACAAAACUGUCCUCCAAAAAGAAUCUAAAGACCGAUGAGGGAGAAAUUGAAGAAUCGUGAAAUCUGCGUGGACUGCCUCUGGGUCCUCCACGGAUUUAUACUCGGCCUGGUAUUCAAACGAAUUUGAUACAGGCCGGGAAAGGUGGCUCGGCCUGUGUUGGAUGUUCGAUAUUUUAAAACAGCCAAAUGUUCCACGUAGCCCUCUUUGCUGCGGCACUGGCGAAAACUACAGGCAUCAUUAAAGUAUUGGAUUUAAAAUGAGUCGAAUAUAAUAAGCGACAGCAGCAGGAACCGGAGGGACCCCUUUUGCCCAGAGGAUACCAAGGAGACCCUCUUUUGCCGAGAGGACACCAGAGAAGCGCUAAGGCGAAAGGGCUUGCGAGGAAAGAGCGCGCAGGAGCAUCGGAGCAGAGGGGAGGGCGGGUCCUAGGGUUCCCAGGUGAAUUCGAAGCACUGGUCAUUUGUCACGAGCCAAAAACGCUGACCACCGGGCCGUGAAAAAGGUCUCGGAAGCGCGAGUCCACAGCCUCCGUGGGGCGAAGUCCGGACUCCUGGGCGGCGGCGGGCGCCCGGGGCUCAGACGCGCCCCACCCGCCGGCUCCUGCAGCUUCCGGGAGCUGCGAUCAGCGGGGGCGACUCCUGCACAGGAGCGCCUAGUCCUGGGAGUGGAAAUCCUGCGUGUGAUGCGGGACCCCGAAGUCAAACUGUGGGGUCCCAGGGCCCUGGCUUCGGGGGUAGGCGCGGAACCCUGAGCCAGGGCCUCUCCGGAGCCGCAGUCUCCUUGCCUGAGGGGUCGCUGGUACUUUCCAGUUCAAAACAGUGGGCGUCUAGAAUGAUUGUGGCAAGACCUAAGGUUUUCAUGGAUAUGUUGUUACGUUCUCCAACGCCCCUCCGUUCUGUAGUGUAGUGGUUAUCACGUUCACCUCACACGCGAAAGGUCCCCGGUUGGAAACCGGGCGGAAACAACCUCUUUUUCCUCAAACUUACCUUCAUGUCGCCAAAUCAAACAGAGGAGGGGACCGGGCGUGGAGGUGCGGCCGCAGCCAAUUUUCCAUUCACGAGAAACGUGGCACAACUUGAGUUACUCAGCCCUAGGAAACAGGCCUCGUUGGUCUGCUCUCAGUCACAAUGGAGACCGCAACACAGUCAGUGAGUCCAAGGGGGGUGCAGGACUAGGCUGACAUCAGCCUACUUUGAGAUCCAGAGAGCCCCUAACCUUCUCCUCUGUCGCCGAAAUCUUCUCUGCAGGCUGACAGGCACUGCACACUUGCUCCGAAGAUCUGUUGGGAUAAAUGUUGUGUCCAACUGUAAAGGCAAGAGGAGAGGGAGAGCCUGGGAAGGCUAGGAACUGAUUGCUGUGCUCACCUUUGACCACCCAGCUCACCUGUGACCACCCAGCUUGAGACAACAGACCUGCCACCCUGCUGUGUUCACCGAGACAGCAACCCACCUACUGUGUCCAUCAAUCGCUGUGCCGACAGAGCAGUCCCGCGACUAUUGUAAAAGGACAUUUCAGUCAUAUGUGAUACAUCCUCUUUGGGGGUAUAUAACCACUCUGUACACCCUACUUCUUUGGUGCCCUUUCUUCCUUUGGGAAGAAAGGCCCUGGGCCAUGGUCCUCACAUUUUAGCUCAGAAUAAACUCUCCCAAAUUUUCAUUUAUAGAUUGGUUAUGGA
This 1681-nucleotide transfer RNA is filed under the name Equus caballus (horse). RNAcentral's name for it is "lncRNA (ENSECAG00000055257.1)". The stretch from base 899 to 970 matches the Rfam family "tRNA". Lineage: Eukaryota; Metazoa; Chordata; Mammalia; Perissodactyla; Equidae. The record is from RNAcentral.